RNAcentral lists this ribosomal RNA (434 nucleotides) under uncultured Lachnospiraceae bacterium. RNAcentral describes it as "partial 16S ribosomal RNA". It matches the Rfam family "Bacterial small subunit ribosomal RNA", at positions 341 to 792 of the family's 1533-position model. Lineage: Bacteria; Bacillati; Bacillota; Clostridia; Lachnospirales; Lachnospiraceae. The record is from RNAcentral.
ACGGAAGGCAGCAGUGGGGAAUAUUGCACAAUGGGCGAAAGCCUGAUGCAGCGACGCCGCGUGAGUGAAGAAGUAUCUCGGUAUGUAAAGCUCCAUCAGCAGGGAAGAAAAUGACGGUACCUGACUAAGAAGCCCCGGCUAACUACGUGCCAGCAGCCGCGGUAAUACGUAGGGGGCAAGCGUUAUCCGGAUUUACUGGGUGUAAAGGGAGCGUAGACGGUUUGGCAAGUCUGAAGUGAAAUGCGGGGGCUCAACUCCUGAACUGCUUUGGAAACUGUCGAACUAGAGUGCAGGAGAGGUAAGUGGAAUUCCUAGUGUAGCGGUGAAAUGCGUAGAUAUUAGGAGGAACACCAGUGGCGAAGGCGGCUUACUGGACUGUAACUGACGUUGAGGCUCGAAAGCGUGGGGAGCAAACAGGAUUAGAUACCCUGGUA